AUGUCUGCAUAUGCUAGAAAGGUAUCCAAGGUUCUCAAAAAUGACCCCGUCAGGGAGAUCAUCGUCCGCAUCGGCUUCCCCUCCAUCCUUGUCCAUUGCACCCUUGUCUGCAAACAUUGGUACCACCACACCUCUAAACUAUCCUUCCUCCGCUGGUUCCGCGAGUGCCACCCGCCCUGCCUCCUUAGCUUCUUCCUUGAGGACAAGGAGGAUCAUAGCAUCGCUCCUUUCCGCUUCUUCCUGAUGCUACCCCAGCCCCAAAGCUUGCCGCUGCCGUCCACCACAUGGCGAGCUACAGCUUGGACUACUACAGGGGCGCACCGGCCAACUUCCUCUACUCCUGGAAAGGUAGAGUCCUCAUUAGCUUGUACAAUUAGCGUGACCGCAACAUGUCCAAACCCAGGACAGUUAUUCGCACAGGAUGAGUGA
RNAcentral lists this ribosomal RNA (429 nucleotides) under Triticum aestivum (bread wheat). RNAcentral describes it as "partial small subunit ribosomal RNA". The record is from RNAcentral. Lineage: Eukaryota; Viridiplantae; Streptophyta; Magnoliopsida; Poales; Poaceae.